Molecule: ribosomal RNA, 226 nt
Filed under: uncultured bacterium
Lineage: Bacteria
Description: partial 16S ribosomal RNA
Rfam family: Bacterial small subunit ribosomal RNA
Source: RNAcentral
CUUAGUGGCGCACGGGCGCGUAACGCGUGGGAAUCUACCCUUAGGUGCGGAAUAACAGUUAGAAAUGACUGCUAAUACCGCAUAAUGACUCCGGUCCAAAGAUUUAUCGCCUAAGGAUGAGCCCGCGUAAGAUUAGCUAGUUGGUGAGGUAAGAGCUCACCAAGGCGACGAUCUUUAGCUGGUCUGAGAGGAUGAUCAGCCACACUGGGACUGAGACACGGCCCAG